UAUUCUGAUGGAGCAUCAACUUUAAGUACAACUCAAGUAUUGAUCCGCCCCGUAAUUCUAUGUAUAUCAUGCGUUACUGCUAGCCAACAUGAAUAUUAUAUA
This 102-nucleotide non-coding RNA is filed under the name Chlorocebus sabaeus (green monkey). RNAcentral's name for it is "Mitochondrial DNA control region secondary structure A". It matches the Rfam family "Mitochondrial DNA control region secondary structure A". Lineage: Eukaryota; Metazoa; Chordata; Mammalia; Primates; Cercopithecidae. The record is from Rfam by way of RNAcentral.